Molecule: unclassified non-coding RNA, 1048 nt
Filed under: leaf metagenome
Description: partial contains internal transcribed spacer 1, 5.8S ribosomal RNA, internal transcribed spacer 2, and large subunit ribosomal RNA
Rfam family: Eukaryotic large subunit ribosomal RNA (bases 463-1048)
Source: RNAcentral
UUACCAAUUUUAUCGGGGGACUUCGGUCCCUGUCUGAACCCUUGUCUUUUGCGUACUGUUUGUUUCCUCGGCGGGCUCUAUGCCUGCCGAUAGGACACCAUUAAACCUUUUGUAAUUGCAAUCAGCGUCAGAAAAACACAAUAGUUACAACUUUCAACAACGGAUCUCUUGGUUCUGGCAUCGAUGAAGAACGCAGCGAAAUGCGAAAAGUAGUGUGAAUUGCAGAAUUCAGUGAAUCAUCGAAUCUUUGAACGCACAUUGCGCCCCUUGGUAUUCCAUGGGGCAUGCCUGUUCGAGCGUCAUUUGUACCUUCAAGCUCUGCUUGGUGUUGGGUGUUUGUCCCGCCUUCUGCGUGGACUCGCCUCAAAGCAAUUGGCAGCCGGCGUACUAGCCUGGGAGCGCAGCACAUUUUGCGUCUCUCAGCUUGAAUGCUUGCGUCCAUUAAGCCUACACUUUUGCUCUUGACCUCGGAUCAGGUAGGGAUACCCGCUGAACUUAAGCAUAUCAAUAAGCGGAGGAAAAGAAACCAACAGGGAUUGCCCUAGUAACGGCGAGUGAAGCGGCAUCAGCUCAAAUUUGAAAUCUGGCUCUUUCAGGGUCCGAGUUGUAAUUUGCAGAGGGCGCUUUGGCGUUGGCAGCGGUCCAAGUUCCUUGGAACAGGACGUCACAGAGGGUGAGAAUCCCGUACGUGGUCGCUGGCCUUCGCCGUGUAAAGCCCCUUCGACGAGUCGAGUUGUUUGGGAAUGCAGCUCUAAAUGGGAGGUAAAUUUCUUCUAAAGCUAAAUACUGGCCAGAGACCGAUAGCGCACAAGUAGAGUGAUCGAAAGAUGAAAAGCACUUUGGAAAGAGAGUCAAAUAGCACGUGAAAUUGUUGAAAGGGAAGCGCUUGCAGCCAGACUUGCCUGUAGUUGCUCAUCCGGGCUUUUGCCCGGUGCACUCUUCUGCGGGCAGGCCAGCAUCAGUCUGGGCGGUUGGAUAAAGGCCUCUGUCAUGUACCUCCUCUCGGGAGGCCUUAUAGGGGAGGCGUAAUGCAACCAGCCUGGACUGA